UACGAAGGGACCUAGCGUAGUUCGGAAUUACUGGGCGUAAAGAGUAUGUAGGCGGCUAGAUAAGUUAAUUGUGAAAGCCCAAAGCUUAACUUUGGAAUUGCAAUUAAAACUAUUUAGCUAGAGUAUGAUAGAGGAAAGCGGAAUACAUAGUGUAGAGGUGAAAUUCGUAGAUAUUAUGUAGAACACCAGUUGCGAAGGCGGCUUUCUGGAUCAUUACUGACGCUGAGAUACGAAAGUAUGGGUAGCGAAGAGGAUUAGAUACCCUCGUAAUCCAUACUGUAAACGAUGGUUAUUAGAUGUGGGGAAUUAUUUCUCUGUAUCACAGCUAACGCGUUAAAUAAUCCGCCUGGGGAGUACGACCGCAAGGUUAAAACUCAAAUGAGUUGACGGAGACCCGCACAAGCGGUGGAGCAUGUGGUUUAAUUCGAUGCAACGCGAAAAACCUUACCUACUCUUGACAUCCUUGGAAUCUCUUGUAAUGAGAGAGUGCCUUUUGGAACCAAGUGACAGGUGCUGCAUGGCUGUCGUCAGCUCGUGUCGUGAGAUGUUCCGUUAAGUCGGAUAACGAGCGCAACCCUUACCCUUAUUUGCCAGCGGUUCGGCCGGGAACUAUAAGGGGACUGCCGGUGAUAAACCGGAGGAAGGUGAGGAUGACGUCAAGUCAUCAUGGCCCUUACGAGUAGGGCUACACACGUGCUACAAUGGGAAGUACAGAGGGACGCCAAAGCGUGAGCUGGAGCUAAUCUCAUAAAACUUUUCGUAGUCCGGAUUGCAGUCUGCAACUCGACUGCAUGAAGUCGGAAUCGCUAGUAAUCGCGGAUCAGCACGCCGCGGUGAAUACGUUCUCGGGUCU
RNAcentral lists this ribosomal RNA (853 nucleotides) under uncultured bacterium. Its description in RNAcentral is "SSU rRNA". It matches the Rfam family "Bacterial small subunit ribosomal RNA", at positions 524 to 1381 of the family's 1533-position model. The record is from RNAcentral.